This 400-nucleotide long non-coding RNA is filed under the name Dasypus novemcinctus (nine-banded armadillo). Its description in RNAcentral is "lncRNA (ENSDNOG00000052011.1)". Lineage: Eukaryota; Metazoa; Chordata; Mammalia; Cingulata; Dasypodidae. The record is from RNAcentral.
AAUAUCAUCCUGAAGAAACUUGAGAGAAUUCAUGAGAUGGCAAUGAAUUUCUUUUUCUCUCCCUACUUAGCAACGCAGCAAAAAAGCCUCCACGUCUCUCCUGUGGCUUCUGAAGUCAUCCGGGAUAAUCGCCAACCGGCCCUGGCCACGAGUCUCCCUCACGGUGACCACCACUGCCAUCAUACUAGCGAUGGCCGUGUUCAACAUGUUUUUUCUGGAUGAUCCGAAGGACAUUGGCCCUCUGGCUGCCAAUACAUCAAACACAACUUUUUCUACAUCCAGUAAUCAGGCAGUGAUUCUGCGUGCACAAAAUUUGUUUUUCCUCCCGGUAAGUAGUUUCACUUGCUGCUCUGGCUUGCGUUGUUUUCCUGUUCUCCCCCCGUUCUUCCCCUGUGUGGUG